This 253-nucleotide ribosomal RNA is filed under the name uncultured bacterium. RNAcentral's name for it is "partial 16S ribosomal RNA". It matches the Rfam family "Bacterial small subunit ribosomal RNA", at positions 524 to 776 of the family's 1533-position model. The record is from RNAcentral.
AACGUAGGAGACGAACGUUAUCCGGAGUUACUGGGCGUAAAGGGCGUGUAGGCGGUUUGUUAAGUCUGGCGUGAAAGCUCUCGGCUAAACCGGGAGAGGUCGUUGGAUACUGGCGAACUAGAGGAUGGUAGAGGCGUGUGGAAUUCCGGGUGUAGUGGUGAAAUGCGUAGAGAUCCGGAGGAACACCAGUGGCGAAGGCGACACGCUGGGCCAUACCUGACGCUGAGGCGCGAAAGCGUGGGGAGCGAACGGG